Non-coding RNA from Pogona vitticeps (central bearded dragon), 406 nucleotides. The record is from RefSeq and is a predicted model, not a curated record. Lineage: Eukaryota; Metazoa; Chordata; Lepidosauria; Squamata; Agamidae.
CGAUCCCAAGGGAGCUGGUGGCAUUUCUAAACUCCCACAAUAUAGAGGCAAAAAUGACUGAUGACAUUCAGAAGCUCUUACAACGCCGAUAUUGGAAAACAGAACCCAAAUAACGCAACAGCAGCAGCUGUGCCAGGAAGAGCAGGCCUGGGAGCCUUCGCAGCCAAGAAGCCUGCGAAAAAAAGUUCAAAGGCUCAAGUUGCAAAUUAACAGCUGCUUCCCUGGAAACGAAAGGCCAGCCAUGACACACACACAAGAUCUGCAAUGCAAACAUGUCCAGAGGGAGGAGGAGGGAAGUGGGUUGCAAGGUCAACAGCUGACAACUGCAGCAGAGUCAAGCAUCCUGCUAAUUGGCCUACAAACUUGUAACUCUGCUAAUUGAAUGCCACAGGCUGGUGGCAGCGAA